RNAcentral lists this ribosomal RNA (468 nucleotides) under uncultured bacterium. Its description in RNAcentral is "partial 16S ribosomal RNA". It matches the Rfam family "Bacterial small subunit ribosomal RNA", at positions 28 to 507 of the family's 1533-position model. The record is from RNAcentral.
GACGAACGCUGGCGGCGUGCUUAACACACGCAAGUCGAACGGAAAGGCCCUGCUUUUGUGGGGUGCUCGAGUGGCGAACGGGUGAGUAACACGUGAGUAACCUGCCCUUGACUUUGGGAUAACUUCAGGAAACUGGGGCUAAUACAGGAUAGGAGCUCCUGCUGCAUGGUGGGGGUUGGAAAGUUUCGGCGGUUGGGGAUGGACUCGCGGCUUAUCAGCUUGUUGGUGGGGUAGUGGCUUACCAAGGCUUUGACGGGUAGCCGGCCUGAGAGGGUGACCGGCCACAUUGGGACUGAGAGACGGCCCAGACUCCUACGGGAGGCAGCAGUGGGGAAUAUUGCACAAUGGGCGGAAGCCUGAUGCAGCAACGCCGCGUGCGGGAUGACGGCCUUCGGGUUGUAAACCGCUUUCGCCUGUGACGAAGCGUGAGUGACGGUAAUGGGUAAAGAAGCACCGGCUAACUACGUG